Molecule: long non-coding RNA, 1691 nt
Filed under: Carica papaya (papaya)
Lineage: Eukaryota; Viridiplantae; Streptophyta; Magnoliopsida; Brassicales; Caricaceae
Description: long non-coding RNA (CPAP_LNC006222)
Source: RNAcentral
UAGAGUGCAGGUUGCCAUAGAUCAUUCGUAUGUGCCUCAAGAUGUGGUCCAUGAAUUCUUGGAAAUUGGGUGGCGGGGUUCUUGGGGUUGCUUGUGCUUAACGCUCUCUCUAUUUACUGUAUACUCUUUUAACUCGGGGCACGAAUGACCUAGGGGUGCAAAGUAGGUGAUGCAAUUCUUGACUUCCAAGAGGCCCGUGUCGUCCAAGGAUCGAAGAUCUAAAGUUCUUGUGGGCAUGGAAGGUGCAAGUUUAUUUCAUCUAUGUCAAAGCGGGUGGUGAAAAUAGCAAUUAUAGUGACAAUCGAGCCCAAGAUUAACAGCUGGAAUGAAAGGAUGUUGGCAAACUGCGAGGCAAACUAGUAUUNNNNNNNNNNNNNNNNNNNNNNNNNNNNNNNNNNNNNNNNNNNNNNNNNNNNNCGCAGGUAGAGGUCUUUGGACUUACUGGGGUCAUAUGCAGUUGGAGGGUUGUCACAGAGUUCGUCGUAGACGGUGACAGGCCCAAAUCAUCACAAAAAUUGCAAUAUACGUGUUCCGUCUCCCGCUUAGAAAAUUCCAACGCGUCAUUGAACUAAGCAAUGGAGAAAUUGAAAUGUCUACCCCUCAGAUGAUAGGAAAUGAGAUUUGGGUUGUGGAGGUUCAAAUGAGUGGGUUUGUGAAAUUGGAAGGUUGUGCAGAACACCUUAACCAGUUCCAUGUAGGCUGGCACGUCGACGGUGAAAAAUUUUUCCCAUCCGAUGGUAUAUAUUAGUCUUAAGACACAAAAAACUAGUGAAUUUCCUUAUAUCUCUCUUUUUCCAGGUCGUCCUCAAAGACGAGAUGCCCCUGGAGUCGGAUUUGAUGGGUUGAUGAAUGGGUUGCCCUUUCUAGACUCAGGCCCGCUUCUUUGACCUUUGGGAUGCUUCAUCUUCUUUAGCAGCUUCGCUGGCAGUGGGUGGUGGUUGAUUUGCACGCCUGGUUGUCUGACUUGUUCUAGCUUCGUGAGUGGUGGUCCUCUGGGAAGGAGAGUCAGAGAUGUUAAUGACAAGGCUGCGAGGUAUUGGGGAGGCCGUUGUGGAGCUACUCGCUCCAGUUGGUAAAGGUUGCUCUCUAUCAAGGGCUUGUGGUGCGAACGCCAUCGGUGCUGCUUGUGUCGUCGCCUCGGUGGUCUGCUGACGCACGAGGGGCAGCAGAUUUUUUUGUGCAGAUCUCUUGUGCCUCAUUUUGUGGGUGGUUGAGGGGUUAGGGAUUGGGGCAGUUACAUUUGGUUCAAGGGAGGAGAAAAAGGGAAGUUAGAAAGUGGAGAGGAGAGGUUGGCAGUGAAGGUGGGAAGUGAGAGUUAGGUUUCUUGUUUUUCAUUAUUGCUGUUUAAAUUUUAAAAUGGGUGCUAAGUGUCGGCAGCCUAGGGCAAUGGUUGGGUUUGUCAUAAUUUUUUUUUUGAAAGUCUGAAACUCAUACGCUUUGGGCAAGUCUUGGAUGUGAGAGGACAAGAUCAUUUUAUAGGGUGUAGAUCAUAAACCUUGAGCAAGGCUUACAUGUUCGAAUAGAAAUGAUCCCCUACUAUCUUCGCAUUUUAACUUUAGGCAAGGCUUGUGAAAGGGUGUUGAUUGGGAAGCUAAUACGAACUAGCCUAGGGCAAGGCUUAUGCGUGAAUGAGGUGUAAGCCUCAGUCAAGGCUUACACAAAGUGAUUGUCCCGACUUCAGUGUCCUUACA